RNAcentral lists this ribosomal RNA (445 nucleotides) under uncultured bacterium. Its description in RNAcentral is "partial 16S ribosomal RNA". It matches the Rfam family "Bacterial small subunit ribosomal RNA", at positions 354 to 796 of the family's 1533-position model. The record is from RNAcentral.
GUGAGGAAUAUUGCGCAAUGGAGGCAACUCUGACGCAGCCAUGCCGCGUGCAGGAAGAAGGCGCUACGCGUUGUAAACUGCUUUUAACCGGGAAGAAACCCCAGGACGUGUCCUGGGUUGACGGUACCGGAGGAAUAAGCACCGGCUAACUUCGUGCCAGCAGCCGCAGUAAUACGAAGGGUGCAAGCGUUAUCCGGAUUCAUUGGGUUUAAAGGGUGCGUAGGCGGAGCGUUAAGUCAGUGGUGAAUUCCUGCAGCUUAACUGUAGACUUGCCAUUGAUACUGGCGCUCUUGAGUGCGCUUGAAGUGGGCGGAAUGUGCCGUGUAGCGGUGAAAUGCUUAGAUAUGGCACAGAACACCAAUUGCGAAGGCAGCUCACUAAGGCGAUACUGACGCUGAGGCACGAAAGCGUGGGGAUCGAACAGGAUUAGAAACCCCGGUAGUCC